RNAcentral lists this ribosomal RNA (399 nucleotides) under uncultured bacterium. RNAcentral describes it as "bacterial SSU rRNA". It matches the Rfam family "Bacterial small subunit ribosomal RNA", at positions 355 to 770 of the family's 1533-position model. The record is from RNAcentral.
UAAGGAAUAUUGGUUAAUGUGCGAAAGCGCGAACCAGCAACGCCGCGUGUGCGAUGAAGGCCUUCGGGUUGUAAAGCACUUUUUGAAGGGAUGAGGAAGGACAGUACCUUCAGAAUAAGUCUCGGCUAACUACGUGCCAGCAGCCGCGGUAAGACGUAGGAGACGAGUGUUAUUCGGAUUUACUGGGCGUAAAGCGCGUGCAGGCGGUUUGGUAAGUUGGAUGUGAAAGCUCCUGGCUUAACUGGGAGAGGUCGUUCAAUACUACCAGACUCGAGGAUAGGAGAGGGAGGUGGAAUUCCGAGUGUAGUGGUGAAAUGCGUAGAUAUUCGGAGGAACACCAGUGGCGAAAGCGGCCUCCUGGCCUAUUUCUGACGCUCAGACGCGAAAGCUAGGGUAGCA